RNAcentral lists this ribosomal RNA (449 nucleotides) under uncultured Leptolinea sp. Its description in RNAcentral is "bacterial SSU rRNA". It matches the Rfam family "Bacterial small subunit ribosomal RNA", at positions 919 to 1382 of the family's 1533-position model. Lineage: Bacteria; Bacillati; Chloroflexota; Anaerolineae; Anaerolineales; Anaerolineaceae. The record is from RNAcentral.
CCCCGCACAAGCAGCGGAGCGUGUGGUUUAAUUCGAUGCUACACGAAGACCUUACCAGGGUUUGACAUGCAAGUGGUAGGAAACCGAAAGGCGACCGACCCUUCGGGGAGCUUGCACAGGUGCUGCAUGGCUGUCGUCAGCUCGUGUCGUGAGAUGUUCGGUUAAGUCCGCUAACGAGCGCAACCCUCGCUGUGUGUUACAAGUGUCACACGGUACUGCCGGUCUUAAGCCGGAGGAAGGUGGGGAUGACGUCAAGUCAGCAUGGCCUUUAUGUCCUGGGCUACACACACGCUACAAUGGCCAACACAAUAGGUUGCUAAGCCGCGAGGUGGAGCCAAUCCUCAAAGUUGGUCUCAGUUCAGAUUGCAGGCUGCAACUCGCCUGCAUGAAGAUGGAGCUGCUAGUAACCGCAGGUCAGCUAUACUGCGGUGAAUACGUUCCCGGGGCUU